AUUGAACGCUGGCGGCAGGCCUAACACAUGCAAGUCGAGCGGACGAAGGCAGCUUGCUCCUGGAUUCAGCGGCGGACGGGUGGGUAAUGCCUAGGAAUCUGCCUGGUAGUGGGGGAUAACGUCCGGAAACGGGCGCUAAUACCGCAUACGUCCUGAGGGAGAAAGUGGGGGAUCUUCGGACCUCACGCUAUCAGAUGAGCCUAGGUCGGAUUAGCUAGUUGGUGGGGUAAAGGCCUACCAAGGCGACGAUCCGUAACUGGUCUGAGAGGAUGAUCAGUCACACUGGAACUGAGACACGGUCCAGACUCCUACGGGAGGCAGCAGUGGGGAAUAUUGGACAAUGGGCGAAAGCCUGAUCCAGCCAUGCCGCGUGUGUGAAGAAGGUCUUCGGAUUGUAAAGCACUUUAAGUUGGGAGGAAGGGCAGUAAGUUAAUACCUUGCUGUUUUGACGUUACCAACAGAAUAAGCACCGGCUAACUUCGUG
This 484-nucleotide ribosomal RNA is filed under the name uncultured bacterium. Its description in RNAcentral is "partial 16S ribosomal RNA". It matches the Rfam family "Bacterial small subunit ribosomal RNA", at positions 30 to 507 of the family's 1533-position model. The record is from RNAcentral.